Non-coding RNA from Triticum aestivum (bread wheat), 121 nucleotides. Lineage: Eukaryota; Viridiplantae; Streptophyta; Magnoliopsida; Poales; Poaceae. The record is from Rfam.
AUGACACUCCCUCCGUCCGGAAAUACUUGUCGGAGAAAUGUAUCUAGACGUCUUUUAGUUUUAGAUACAUCCAUUUUUAUCCAUUUCUCCGACAAGUAUUUUCGGACGGAGGGAGUAUUAA